GUAUUUAAAACGAUUUUACUUAAAAUUCGAAAAACCAUACGACUCACCUGUAAUUGUGUGAGCUGACACAAUUGCUGAGAGAGUUGCUGUUGGUGCUGUUGGUGCUGUUGGUGCUGUUGGUGCUGUUGGUGCUGUUGGUGCUGAUGUUGCUGGUGCUGCUGCUGUUGUUGGUGCUGGUGCUGUUGCUGCUGGUGGUGUUGAUGUUGAUGCUGGAACUGCAUGUGUUGAUGCUGCUGUUGCUGCUGAUGCUGUUGCUGCUGAUGCUGGUGCUGCUGGAGCUGAUGAUGCUGUUGCUGCUGUUGCUGCUGCUGAUUAUGGUGCUGCUGAAGUAUCAAAUGCGCGAGAUCCUGUUGUUGUUGGUGGUGAUGAAUCUGGUUGAGCAAAGCCACGGCAGCCGCAGUCGACGUGACCGGGUGACCAGCCAUGUGACCGGGAUGGUGCUGCGGUGGCGGAGACGGCUGUAAGUGCUGCCCGGGCAUGCCAUGCGCGUUCAAAUGAUGUGGGUGAUGGUGCGGAU
This is a non-coding RNA of Cinara cedri, 517 nucleotides long. The record is from the annotation of a GenBank genome assembly. Lineage: Eukaryota; Metazoa; Arthropoda; Insecta; Hemiptera; Aphididae.